GACGAACGCUGGCGGCGUGCUUAACACAUGCAAGUCGAACGGAGCGAAUGAAAGCUUGCUUUUAUGAGCUUAGUGGCAAACGGGUGAGUAACACGUAGACAACCUGCCGACAGGAUGGGGACAACAUUCCGAAAGGAAUGCUAAUACCGAAUGAAGCGGAGGAGAGGCAUCUCUCUUCCGUGAAAGAUGGCCUCUUUUUAUGCUAUCACCUGUUGAUGGGUCUGCGUCUGAUUAGCUGGUUGGUGAGGUAACGGCUCACCAAGGCGACGAUCAGUAGCCGGUCUGAGAGGAUGAACGGCCACAUUGGGACUGAGACACGGCCCAGACUCCUACGGGAGGCAGCAGUGGGGAAUCUUCCGCAAUGGGCGCAAGCCUGACGGAGCAACGCCGCGUGAGUGAAGAAGGUCUUCGGAUCGUAAAGCUCUGUUGACGGGGACGAACGUGCGGAGUGCGAAUAGCG
This 460-nucleotide ribosomal RNA is filed under the name Centipeda dianae. RNAcentral describes it as "bacterial SSU rRNA". It matches the Rfam family "Bacterial small subunit ribosomal RNA", at positions 28 to 466 of the family's 1533-position model. Lineage: Bacteria; Bacillati; Bacillota; Negativicutes; Selenomonadales; Selenomonadaceae. The record is from RNAcentral.